This 419-nucleotide long non-coding RNA is filed under the name Lathyrus oleraceus (garden pea). RNAcentral describes it as "Pisum sativum (pea) long non-coding RNA (PSAT_LNC029851)". The record is from RNAcentral. Lineage: Eukaryota; Viridiplantae; Streptophyta; Magnoliopsida; Fabales; Fabaceae.
GCAACCGAGAUUAGGGUUUGGGAGUCAGUUACACAAGGGGGAGGUAUUAUCACCCCUCACGUCCAUGGUAUUUCAUGGGAACCAUUUGGGUUGUUUUACGUACAUGGGAACUUAUCUGUUAUUGUUUUUUUUUUAAAAAUGUGUGAAAGAGAGGGUUUUUUUUAUUAUAAUGUUCGUCAAGGAUUGUGGCCCUUGUGCCUACGUAUCACUCAUUCGGGGAUAAGGAAUCAGAACUCCAUAGUUCGAGUAGAAAAUAUUUGUGCGUUUAAUUGAUUUUACCUUUGAGAAAAGUGUUUUCGGGGUGGGUUGUAACACCCCGAUUAAAAUAAGAGAAUUAUUUAAUUGAGUUAAUAUUAUUUUAUUAAUUUAAUUAAAUAAAGUUGAAUUAUUGGAUUAUUUUUAUUAUUAUUAUAGAUGUU